Long non-coding RNA from Hippocampus comes (tiger tail seahorse), 328 nucleotides. RefSeq lists it as uncharacterized. The record is from RefSeq and is a predicted model, not a curated record. NCBI's taxonomy places the organism in Eukaryota, Metazoa, Chordata, Actinopteri, Syngnathiformes, Syngnathidae. The transcript has 3 exons.
CACACCUGGGCGGCCCAAUUGGGCCACCCCUCAGCAGACCCCCUAAGACAAAGGAUUCCUAUAGAACCAGCACCAACAUCUAUAAACUAACAGACACGUAGACAUUUUAACGAGCGGUGUCUCCCUGAAUUAAGACGUCGGUCACCUGGCUCGUGACCCUUGCUCGUGAUGGAGCGUACGAGUACUCCCUUCCGUCCAAGGUUAAAUCUUCCUUUCUAAGUUGUCAGUUAACAGGCGCCAGUGUGUCUACUAGUGAGGGUUAAAUCUUUCUCUCUGAGAUAAGGAGCGCAUGGUCAGGUACCAGGCACUCGGAUGUUUCCCUGAACCC